RNAcentral lists this ribosomal RNA (867 nucleotides) under uncultured bacterium. RNAcentral describes it as "bacterial SSU rRNA". It matches the Rfam family "Bacterial small subunit ribosomal RNA", at positions 28 to 896 of the family's 1533-position model. The record is from RNAcentral.
AUUGAACGCUGGCGGCAUGCACANNUGCAAGUCGAACGGCAGCACGGGGCAACCUGGUGGCGAGUGGCGAACGGGUGAGUAAUAUAUCGGAACGUACCCUGGAGUGGGGGAUAACGUAGCGAAAGUUACGCUAAUACCGCAUACGAUCUAAGGAUGAAAGCAGGGGACCGCAAGGCCUUGUGCUCCUGGAGCGGCCGAUAUCUGAUUAGCUAGUUGGUGGGGUAAAGGCCUACCAAGGCAUCGAUCAGUAGCUGGUCUGAGAGGACGACCAGCCACACUGGAACUGAGACACGGUCCAGACUCCUACGGGAGGCAGCAGUGGGGAAUUUUGGACAAUGGGCGCAAGCCUGAUCCAGCAAUGCCGCGUGAGUGAAGAAGGCCUUCGGGUUGUAAAGCUCUUUUGUCAGGGAAGAAACGGUGAGAGCUAAUAUCUCUUGCUAAUGACGGUACCUGAAGAAUAAGCACCGGCUAACUACGUGCCAGCAGCCGCGGUAAUACGUAGGGUGCAAGCGUUAAUCGGAAUUACUGGGCGUAAAGCGUGCGCAGGCGGUUUUGUAAGUUUGUCGUGAAAUCCCCGGGCUCAACCUGGGAAUGGCGAUGAAGACUGCAAGGCUAGAAUCUGGCAGAGGGGGGUAGAAUUCCACGUGUAGCAGUGAAAUGCGUAGAGAUGUGGAGGAACACCGAUGGCGAAGGCAGCCCCCUGGGUCAAGAUUGAUGCUCAUGCACGAAAGCGUGGGGAGCAAACAGGAUUAGAUACCCUGGUAGUCCACGCCCUAAACGAUGUCUACUAGUUGUCGGGUUUUAAUUAACUUGGUAACGCAGCUAACGCGUGAAGUAGACCGCCUGGGGAGKANGGUCGCAAGAUUA